CCCUUAGACGUUCUGGGCCGCACGCGCGCUACACUGACGAAGGCAACGAGCUUUCCUUUACCGAAAGGUACGGGUAAUCUUUUGAAACUUCGUCGUGCUGGGGAUAGAUCCUUGCAAUUUUUGAUCUUAAACGAGGAAUGCCUAGUAAGCGCAAGUCAUCAACUUGCGUUGAUUACGUCCCUGCCCUUUGUACGCACCGCCCGUCGCUACUACCGAUUGAAUGGUUUAGUGAGGCCUUCGGAUCCGCGACUCGUUUGUGGAGAAGUUGGACAAACUCAGUCAUUUAGAGGAAGUAAAAGUCGUAACA
This 307-nucleotide ribosomal RNA is filed under the name uncultured eukaryote. RNAcentral's name for it is "partial 18S ribosomal RNA". It matches the Rfam family "Eukaryotic small subunit ribosomal RNA", at positions 1470 to 1796 of the family's 1831-position model. The record is from RNAcentral.